Ribosomal RNA from Trichoderma harzianum, 93 nucleotides. The record is from Rfam. NCBI's taxonomy places the organism in Eukaryota, Fungi, Ascomycota, Sordariomycetes, Hypocreales, Hypocreaceae.
ACAUACGACCAUAGGUAGAGGAGAGCUCGGGGUCCCGUCUGCUCCCCCAUAGAUAAGCCUCUAACCGGCAGAUUAGUAGUUGAGUGGGUGACC